Molecule: transfer RNA, 74 nt
Filed under: Alphaproteobacteria bacterium RIFCSPHIGHO2_12_FULL_63_12
Lineage: Bacteria; Pseudomonadati; Pseudomonadota; Alphaproteobacteria
Description: tRNA-Val
Source: RNAcentral
AAGCGCGUUCUACAGAUUGGACCCCUCCCUUCACACGGGAGAGGUCGUAGGUUCAAUCCCUACAGCGCCCACCA